This is a long non-coding RNA of Engraulis encrasicolus (European anchovy), 452 nucleotides long. RefSeq lists it as uncharacterized. The transcript has 3 exons. The record is from RefSeq and is a predicted model, not a curated record. Lineage: Eukaryota; Metazoa; Chordata; Actinopteri; Clupeiformes; Engraulidae.
GAAGACAGUUGGAUUGUUGUUUUCUCCUGGACAUUUACACUUGCCUCACAUAGUGUGGAACUCAGAUGGACAGCAAAACUGAUCAGGGUGCAGGUCAAUCAUCAUGCUCAGGACACUGAAGAGUACAGUUGGAUUGUUGUUUGCUCCUCGACAUUCACACACGCCUCACAUACUGUAGUGUGGAACUCAGAUGGACAGCAAAACUGAUCAGGGUGCAGGCCAAUCAUCAUGCUACUCUGCAGGAGGUCUCGAGAGAAGAGUUCAGCGCCCUGCCCACUUGCAGACAACUCAACCAGAAGAAGAGUAGAGUAAAGGCCUCUUCUAAACCAACACUAUUUUACACAUUACACUUGCAUUGCUAGCAGUGUAUGCACAUGGAAACCUGUGUAUGACACUUAAAAAAAAACAACAACACUUUAUUUAUUCACAAGCAUUGAAUGAGUGAGUGAAAG